This 750-nucleotide ribosomal RNA is filed under the name uncultured bacterium. RNAcentral's name for it is "bacterial SSU rRNA". It matches the Rfam family "Bacterial small subunit ribosomal RNA", at positions 43 to 804 of the family's 1533-position model. The record is from RNAcentral.
CAGGCCUAACACAUGCAAGUCGAACGGAAAGGCCCUGCUUUUGUGGGGUGCUCGAGUGGCGAGCGGGUGAGUAACACGUGAGUAACCUGCCCUUGACUUUGGGAUAACUUCAGGAAACUGGGGCUAAUACCGGAUAGGAGCUCCUGCUGCAUGGUGGGGGUUGGAAAGUUUCGGCGGUUGGGGAUGGACUCGCGGCUUAUCAGCUUGUUGGUGGGGUAGUGGCUUACCAAGGCUUUGACGGGUAGCCGGCCUGAGAGGGUGACCGGCCACAUUGGGACUGAGAUACGGCCCAGACUCCUACGGGAGGCAGCAGUGGGGAAUAUUGCACAAUGGGCGGAAGCCUGAUGCAGCAACGCCGCGUGCGGGAUGACGGCCUUCGGGUUGUAAACCGCUUUCGCCUGUGACGAAGCGUGAGUGACGGUAAUGGGUAAAGAAGCACCGGCUAACUACGUGCCAGCAGCCGCGGUGAUACGUAGGGUGCGAGCGUUGUCCGGAUUUAUUGGGCGUAAAGGGCUCGUAGGUGGUUGAUCGCGUCGGAAGUGUAAUCUUGGGGCUUAACCCUGAGCGUGCUUUCGAUACGGGUUGACUUGAGGAAGGUAGGGGAGAAUGGAAUUCCUGGUGGAGCGGUGGAAUGCGCAGAUAUCAGGAGGAACACCAGUGGCGAAGGCGGUUCUCUGGGCCUUUCCUGACGCUGAGGAGCGAAAGCGUGGGGAGCGAACAGGCUUAGAUACCCUGGUAGUCCACGCUGUA